RNAcentral lists this transfer RNA (60 nucleotides) under Cricetulus griseus (Chinese hamster). It matches the Rfam family "tRNA", at positions 7 to 64 of the family's 71-position model. Rfam says of the family: Transfer RNA (tRNA) molecules are approximately 80 nucleotides in length. Their secondary structure includes four short double-helical elements and three loops (D, anti-codon, and T loops). Further hydrogen bonds mediate the characteristic L-shaped molecular structure. tRNAs have two regions of fundamental functional importance: the anti-codon, which is responsible for specific mRNA codon recognition, and the 3' end, to which the tRNAs corresponding amino acid is attached (by aminoacyl-tRNA synthetases). tRNAs cope with the degeneracy of the genetic code in two manners: having more than one tRNA (with a specific anti-codon) for a particular amino acid; and 'wobble' base-pairing, i.e. permitting non-standard base-pairing at the 3rd anti-codon position. Lineage: Eukaryota; Metazoa; Chordata; Mammalia; Rodentia; Cricetidae. The record is from Rfam by way of RNAcentral.
AUGGCUCAGUGGUUAAGAGCACUUGCUUCUUUUGCAGAAGACCUGGGUUUGAUCCCCAGU